Molecule: ribosomal RNA, 497 nt
Filed under: uncultured bacterium
Lineage: Bacteria
Description: partial 16S ribosomal RNA
Rfam family: Bacterial small subunit ribosomal RNA
Source: RNAcentral
GAUGAACGCUGGCGGCGUGCCUAAUACAUGCAAGUCGAGCGAACAGAUGAUGAGCUUUCUCCUCUGACGUUAGCGGCGGACGGGUGAGUAACACGUGGAUAACCUACCUAUAAGAAAGGGGUAACUUCGGGAAACCGUAACAAAUACCCGAUAAUAUAUUGAAUGGCAGGGUUCAAUAUAAAAAGACGGUUUAGCUGUCACUUAUAGAUGGAUCCGCGCCGCAUUAGCUAGUGGGUAAGGUAACGGCUUACCAAGGCAACGAUGCGUAGCCGCCCUCAGGGGGUCAGCGGCCACACGGGAACUGAGACACGGCCCCGACUCCUACGGGAGGCCGCAGUAGGGACUCCUCCGCGAUGGGCGAAAGCCUGACGGAGCACCGCCGCGUGAGUGAUGAAGGUCUUCGGAUCGUAAAACUCUGUUAUUAGGGAAGAACAAAUGUGUAAGUAACUAUGCACGUAUUGACGGUACCUAAUCAGAAAGCCACGGCUAACUACGUG